This 26-nucleotide non-coding RNA is filed under the name Rattus norvegicus (Norway rat). The record is from RNAcentral. Lineage: Eukaryota; Metazoa; Chordata; Mammalia; Rodentia; Muridae.
UGCCCAAAAGGCAAGGUCUCCUGAGA